RNAcentral lists this ribosomal RNA (303 nucleotides) under Triticum aestivum (bread wheat). Its description in RNAcentral is "partial small subunit ribosomal RNA". Lineage: Eukaryota; Viridiplantae; Streptophyta; Magnoliopsida; Poales; Poaceae. The record is from RNAcentral.
AUGUACCAUCACUCUGCAGCUUAUUUUCCUUUGCCCUCCAUUUUCUACACAUCAGAUCUAUAUUUACUCUUACCAUCGGGUUGGAUAACACCGAUGGUCCUGAAGAAGUUUAGCUCUGCAUUGCUCUUGGUUGUACCUUUUGCCUGUAUCGUUGUACUUACAUUUAUAGCUACUUGGUUAUGUAGCACCAAUCUUCAUCUUAUCUUAAAUAUUCUCCAUUUUUUUCUUAUAUUAUCACAUCUAUAUUUACUCUUAACAGAAUGUAGAAUAAAGGCAAUGCUUAUGAAGAAGAUUCUGUGGUAA